UACGAAGGGGGCUAGCGUUGCUCGGAAUCACUGGGCGUAAAGGGUGCGUAGGCGGGUCUUUAAGUCCGGGGGGAAAUCCUGGAGCUCAACUCCAGAGCUGCCUUUGAUACUGAGGAUCUUGAGUUCGGGAGAGGUGAGUGGAACUGCGAGUGUAGAGGUGAAAUUCGUAGAUAUUCGCAAGAACACCAGUGGCGAAGGCGGCUCACUGGCCCGAUACUGACGCUGAGGCACGAAAGCGUGGGGAGCAAACAGG
RNAcentral lists this ribosomal RNA (253 nucleotides) under uncultured bacterium. Its description in RNAcentral is "partial 16S ribosomal RNA". It matches the Rfam family "Bacterial small subunit ribosomal RNA", at positions 524 to 776 of the family's 1533-position model. The record is from RNAcentral.